This 253-nucleotide ribosomal RNA is filed under the name uncultured bacterium. RNAcentral's name for it is "partial 16S ribosomal RNA". It matches the Rfam family "Bacterial small subunit ribosomal RNA", at positions 524 to 776 of the family's 1533-position model. The record is from RNAcentral.
UACGUAGGGUGCAAGCGUUGUCCGGAAUUAUUGGGCGUAAAGAGCUCGUAGGCGGUUUGUCGCGUCGGGAGUGAAAACCUCGGGCUUAACUCGGGGCUUGCUUUCGAUACGGGCAGACUAGAGGUAUGCAGGGGAGAACGGAAUUCCUGGUGUAGCGGUGAAAUGCGCAGAUAUCAGGAGGAACACCGGUGGCGAAGGCGGUUCUCUGGGCAUGAUCUGACGCUGAGGAGCGAAAGUGUGGGGAGCGAACAGG